GACGAACGCUGGCGGCGUGCUUAACACAUGCAAGUCGAACGGAAAGGCCCUGCUUUUGUGGGGUGCUCGAGUGGCGAACGGGUGAGUAACACGUGAGUAACCUGCCCUUGACUUUGGGAUAACUUCAGGAAACUGGGGCUAAUACCGGAUAGGAGCUCCUGCUGCAUGGUGGGGGUUGGAAAGUUUCGGCGGUUGGGGAUGGACUCGCGGCUUAUCAGCUUGUUGGUGGGGUAGUGGCUUACCAAGGCUUUGACGGGUAGCCGGCAUGAGAGGGUGACCGGCCACAUUGGGACUGAGAUACGGCCCAGACUCGUACGGGAGGCAGCAGUGGGGAAUCUUGCACAAUGGGCGGAAGCCUGAUGCAGCAACGCCGCGUGCGGGAUGACGGCCUUCGGGUUGUAAACCGCUUUCGCCUGUGACGAAGCGUGAGUGACGGUACUGGGUAAAGAAGCACCGGCUAACUACGUG
This 468-nucleotide ribosomal RNA is filed under the name uncultured bacterium. Its description in RNAcentral is "partial 16S ribosomal RNA". It matches the Rfam family "Bacterial small subunit ribosomal RNA", at positions 28 to 507 of the family's 1533-position model. The record is from RNAcentral.